GGUCAUUCAGAACUCUGC
RNAcentral lists this microRNA (18 nucleotides) under Callorhinchus milii (elephant shark). Its description in RNAcentral is "eshark_NOVEL_169". Lineage: Eukaryota; Metazoa; Chordata; Chondrichthyes; Chimaeriformes; Callorhinchidae. The record is from RNAcentral.